GGGGGCGUAGCUCAGCUGGUUAGAGCGUCGGCCUGUCACGCCGAAGGUCGCGGGUUCGAGUCCCGUCGCUCCCGCCA
This 77-nucleotide transfer RNA is filed under the name Xanthobacteraceae bacterium. RNAcentral describes it as "tRNA-Asp". It matches the Rfam family "tRNA". Rfam says of the family: Transfer RNA (tRNA) molecules are approximately 80 nucleotides in length. Their secondary structure includes four short double-helical elements and three loops (D, anti-codon, and T loops). Lineage: Bacteria; Pseudomonadati; Pseudomonadota; Alphaproteobacteria; Hyphomicrobiales; Xanthobacteraceae. The record is from RNAcentral.